This 395-nucleotide ribosomal RNA is filed under the name uncultured bacterium. RNAcentral describes it as "partial 16S ribosomal RNA". It matches the Rfam family "Bacterial small subunit ribosomal RNA", at positions 338 to 730 of the family's 1533-position model. The record is from RNAcentral.
CCUACGGGUGGCAGCAGUGAGGAAUAUUGGUCAAUGGGCGCGAGCCUGAACCAGCCAAGUAGCGUGAAGGAUGACUGCCCUACGGGUUGUAAACUUCUUUUGUAAAGGAGUAAAGUGAGGCACGUGUGCCUUGUUGGAUAUACUUUGUAGAUAAGGAUAGGCUAAAUCCGGGCCAACAAGCGCGGUAAUAGGGAGGAGCCGAGCGUUAUCCGGGUUUUAUGGGGUUAAAGGGGGCGUAAAUGGGUUGUUAAGUCAGUGGGGAAAAUUUGCGGCUCAACCCCAAAAGUGCCAUUGAUACUGGUAGUCUUGAGUACAGUUGAGGUAGGCGGAAUUCGUGGUGUAGCGGUGAAAUGCUUAGAUAUCACGAAGAACUCCGAUUGCGAAGGCAGCUUACU